Molecule: long non-coding RNA, 529 nt
Filed under: Marmota monax (woodchuck)
Lineage: Eukaryota; Metazoa; Chordata; Mammalia; Rodentia; Sciuridae
Source: RNAcentral
UACAUACUGUAUAUUUCUCUUUAUAUGUCAUUUUUGGAAAAGACAAAACUGUACCAGUAGAGAAUAGAUCAGAGGGGGUGCCCCGCUGUGUUGGUCAGAGGGGCCUGGGGGAACCCUGGGGAUGAGCGACCAAUCCACAUCUUGAUGACGGUCACCCAACUGAACGCCACUUGUCAGAACUCGCAAAACCAAAACCUAAAAUGUUAAUUUUACCGGAUGUAAUUAUACUUUUAAUUUUUUUUUAACUAAAACGAAGCUGGGAGCAGUAGCGCACGCCUAUAAUCCCAGCUCUCUGGGAGGUUGAGGCAGGACAGCAAGUGGGAGGCUAACCUGAGCAAUUUAGGAGACCCUGUCUCAAAACACAAAUAAACAAGGUUACAGAUGUAUCUUAUGGUAAUGCCCCUGCGUUUAAGCCUCAGCACCACAAAACUAAAAAUCUUGAGACUGGUGCUGCAGGGGCCGGGAGGAGAGGGAAUGGGAAGUGACCGCUUAACAGAUAAUGGAUUACUUCUGGAGUUUUGGAGUUUGG